AAACCUUCUGAAAUAUAGCUUCUAACUAUAUUAUAGUAGAUGAUUUACUAAGGUUUU
Molecule: transfer RNA, 57 nt
Filed under: Bemisia tabaci
Lineage: Eukaryota; Metazoa; Arthropoda; Insecta; Hemiptera; Aleyrodidae
Description: tRNA-Ser
Source: RNAcentral